AUGCCGGAACUUCCGGAGGUGGAGGCGGCGCGGAGGGCGCUGGAGGCGCACUGCGUGGGCCGCCGCAUCACGCGCUGCGCCGUCGCGGACGACUCCAAGGUCGUCGUCGCCGCCGCCGGGCGCGUGGCCUUCGAGCGCGCUAUGGUGGGCAGGACCAUCGUGGCCGCGCGCCGGAGGGGCAAGAACCUCUGGCUCCGCCUCGACGCCCCGCCCUUCCCCUCCUUCCAGUUCGGAAUGGCAGGUGCGAUCUACAUAAAGGGCGUUGCCGUCACAAAGUACAAGAGAUCAGCUGUCAACUCUGAGGACGAGUGGCCCUCCAAGUACUCCAAAUUCUUCGUCGAGCUUGAUGAUGGCUUGGAGUUUUCCUUCACUGAUAAGAGGCGCUUUGCAAGAGUUCGGUUAUUUGAUGAUCCUGAAACUGUACCUCCAAUUUCUGAGUUAGGUCCAGAUGCGCUCUUUGAGCCGAUGUCUGUUGAUAAUUUUGUGGACUCACUGAGCAGGAAGAAGAUUGGAAUAAAAGCUCUUUUACUUGAUCAGAGCUUCAUAUCAGGCAUUGGUAAUUGGAUUGCAGAUGAGGUGCUUUACCAGUCGAAAAUCCAUCCAUUGCAGAUUGCUUCUAGCCUAACAAGGGAGAGUUGUGAAGCGCUACAUCAAAGCAUCCAAGAAGUUGUGAAAUAUGCUGUCGAUGUUGAUGCUGAUUGUGAUCGCUUUCCUGUGGAAUGGUUGUUUCAUCACCGCUGGGGCAAGAAGCCUGGUAAAGUCGAUGGAAAGAAAAUUGAAUUCAUAACAGCUGGUGGCAGGACUACAGCCUAUGUGCCACAACUGCAGAAGCUGACUGGGACCCAAUCUAACAAAAAAGUAGUGUCUAGCCCAGGGCAAGUGAGCGAGGAUGGUGAUGCCAAGGAAGCAGGGACAGAAGUAGAAGUGGAAGCUGAUGAUGAUUUGAAGCCAAGAAAGAGAGUGGCAACAUUCAAGGCUGCCAAGGGAGAGCAAAACAAGGAUGUCAUAAGUGCCCCUUCCAAAAUAAGAAGGAAAAUUGCUGGCGGCAAGAAGAAACAAAGCAUUGAACAUGGCAGCAAAGAUGAUGUCAAGACUACAGGACCAAACAAAGCUGGUGCUGGUAGCAACGAUGAGCAUGGUUUGGACGAACCUGCUGCUAAGAUGCGCAAGGUAUCAGGCCGAGGUACAAGAAAUUCGUCCAAGAAUAAACCGAAGACUACCAAAUAA
RNAcentral lists this ribosomal RNA (1227 nucleotides) under Triticum aestivum (bread wheat). Its description in RNAcentral is "partial small subunit ribosomal RNA". Lineage: Eukaryota; Viridiplantae; Streptophyta; Magnoliopsida; Poales; Poaceae. The record is from RNAcentral.